GCCGGGAUGACCGAGCGGUCUAAGGUGCCGCACUCAAGUUGCGGUCUCGAAAGAGGCGUGGGUUCGAACCCCACUCCCGGUA
Transfer RNA from Allomyces macrogynus ATCC 38327, 82 nucleotides. It matches the Rfam family "tRNA". From Rfam's summary of the family: Transfer RNA (tRNA) molecules are approximately 80 nucleotides in length. The record is from Rfam. Lineage: Eukaryota; Fungi; Blastocladiomycota; Blastocladiomycetes; Blastocladiales; Blastocladiaceae.